GGGAACCUGAGCAACAAACCACUUGGAUUCAUGUUUGUUACGUCAAAAAUAACGGUAGAAGGGCGUGGCGCUACAAGUUCUUCGGACAAAACAAUACAGUUUUCCGUUCACGAACAAGACCGUGAAAAUUCGACAAAGAAGACUUUUGCCUUGAACCCGGGACAGCAGACGGUCACCAAAAUUGAAUUCCAAAUACUAUCGUUUGGUGUCACGGCGCUUGCGGGUGAAGGAAGCACUACAGGGAGAACUGAUUGUGACGGAUUAAAAGAAGUAAUCCUAAGAAUUGUGAAGAACUUCUAUGUGGAAAAGGUCAUCGUACGCACCGGAAUGUACAACUCCUGGUAAUGCUGCAAAGUAAAACUUAGCUCUUCAAAAUAAAUCACAUUGUCCAG
Molecule: long non-coding RNA, 392 nt
Organism: Dermacentor silvarum
Lineage: Eukaryota; Metazoa; Arthropoda; Arachnida; Ixodida; Ixodidae
Exons: 3
Source: RefSeq, a predicted model, not a curated record